This 72-nucleotide transfer RNA is filed under the name Actinomycetota bacterium. Its description in RNAcentral is "tRNA-OTHER". It matches the Rfam family "tRNA". Rfam says of the family: Transfer RNA (tRNA) molecules are approximately 80 nucleotides in length. The record is from RNAcentral. Lineage: Bacteria; Bacillati; Actinomycetota.
GGCGGGGUUGAACAAUGCUGAUCUGCGCUCAUAACCCAGAGGUCGCAGGUUAAAAUCCUGCCCCCGCUACCA